This 253-nucleotide ribosomal RNA is filed under the name uncultured bacterium. RNAcentral's name for it is "partial 16S ribosomal RNA". It matches the Rfam family "Bacterial small subunit ribosomal RNA", at positions 524 to 776 of the family's 1533-position model. The record is from RNAcentral.
UACGUAGGGUGCGAGCGUUAAUCGGAAUUACUGGGCGUAAAGCGUGCGCAGGCGGUAAGUUAAGUCUGAUGUGAAAGCCCCGGGCUCAACCUGGGAACGGCAUUGGAAACUGGCUUGCUGGAGUGUGGCAGAGGGGGGUGGAAUUCCGCGUGUAGCAGUGAAAUGCGUAGAGAUGCGGAGGAACACCGAUGGCGAAGGCAGCCCCCUGGGCCAACACUGACGCUCAGGCACGAAAGCGUGGGGAGCAAACAGG